UAAUACGGAGGGUGCGAGCGUUAAUCGGAAUUACUGGGCGUAAAGCGCGCGUAGGCGGCUAGGUCAGUCGGAUGUGAAAGCCCCGGGCUUAACCUGGGAAUUGCAUUCGAUACUGCCUGGCUAGAGUAUGGGAGAGGGAAGCGGAAUUUCCGGUGUAGCGGUGAAAUGCGUAGAUAUCGGAAGGAACACCAGUGGCGAAGGCGGCUUCCUGGCCCAAUACUGACGCUCAGGUGCGAAAGCGUGGGUAGCGAACAGGAUUAGAUACCCUGGUAGUCCACGCCGUAAACGAUGAGAACUAGAUGUCGGGAGGAUUUACCUUUCGGUGUCGCAGCUAACGCAUUAAGUUCUCCGCCUGGGGAGUACGCCGGCAACGGUA
Molecule: ribosomal RNA, 376 nt
Filed under: uncultured Gammaproteobacteria bacterium
Lineage: Bacteria; Pseudomonadati; Pseudomonadota; Gammaproteobacteria
Description: bacterial SSU rRNA
Rfam family: Bacterial small subunit ribosomal RNA
Source: RNAcentral